AUUAAUAAAAGGGGCGGAGCACAUACAGAGGGAGGAGGGGGGAGGGGGAGGGGGAAGAAGGAGAAGGUAUUACAAAAAUAGAGUCUAGCUAUUGAAUAAAUAAAAGCUUUCAAUUACUGAUUGCAAGUCCUUCCCAGUGCGCUUCGUCUUGGGCUCCUCCAUCUUCUUGUGGAUCUCUUUAGGAAGUUGCUUUAACAUCAGCUUGAUUACAUUCUUUGUGUUGACCUUGGAAAGGUCAUCCUCAUCAGGCAUUGUAGUCAAAUGUAUCCUCUUCCUCUUUCCUAAUGGAGUCACCAAAAUGUGUGUUGAUGCAAAUUUGGUCACAUACUAAAAGUACUAGAACUUGUGAAUUAGAAAUGGAUCUUGGUGUGAAUCUACAAAAAUAGGCAGAUCCUGUUUUCUAAAAUAGGCCAGACUAGUUUUUUU
RNAcentral lists this long non-coding RNA (426 nucleotides) under Setaria viridis. Its description in RNAcentral is "long non-coding RNA (SVIR_LNC001792)". Lineage: Eukaryota; Viridiplantae; Streptophyta; Magnoliopsida; Poales; Poaceae. The record is from RNAcentral.